Molecule: long non-coding RNA, 1302 nt
Organism: Mya arenaria
Lineage: Eukaryota; Metazoa; Mollusca; Bivalvia; Myida; Myidae
Exons: 3
Source: RefSeq, a predicted model, not a curated record
CGUAAUUAACUUCCAUUACUGUAAACAUAUAGUUGAUCACAAGGACCAUUUAUAUAAGUGUUUUAAAAUGAUACGGAUAUUAUGUUAUCCAUUGGUAUUGCUUCAUAUUUGUUAUUGUCUAGCGACAAACGAAACCGACUCCUACGAGAUAUACAUCGUCGUGCAGUCCAAGGAAAUACACUUAAAUAGUAUAAAGGAAUCUAUGGAAAUGUAUUAUUUUCAUUUCAAAAGCAAGAUAAAUAACAAGCUCUUUAUUUUCGAGAAGAAUAAUGGAAGUGAUAAGCGACGUUUACACACUGAUGAAUUGGAGGGUCUUCGUAAAUCAAAUAAUCAUUGAUGCCAAGAGGUAAGAAGCGCAAGAAUGGUGUUGCUUUUCUCUUUUCGCUUUCAAUACAAUUCGUUAGCCGGUAUUCUGAUUUGUGUGCUAAAUUAUAAACGGGCUCGUGGAAAACACGGUGUUGAAUGUACUGUAGUGCAAGGAUUCCAGGUUAAAACAUUUUUGCUGAAUGUUAACAGUUUGAGUUUAAAGAUAUUUAGUUUAAACUAGUAUGUCUAUUUUUUCAAUUCUAUCGAAAUUAGGUUACUUUUAGUUGUGUAAAAUUUCAUUCUGGAGGGGAAAUAAACAUGUUUUAAUUAUAUUAAGUUUAGUUUGGUUCUUCAAGGUGUUAACAGCUUCAGUCUUGCGAUUGUGUUUGUAGCUAAUUCAGAAACCAUAAAUAUAACCUCAGUUCAAAUAUCAAAUUUGAUAUAAACGAUUUAAUAGGUGCAAACAGAUUUAAACUUGUAAAAUGUUUCGAAAUUAUUGAACUUUUGAAUUACGCAGAUUUUGAAUAGCAGGGAUCCCACGUUUUUUUGCCAUUAUUUGAAAAAGAUGAACGAGUCAAGAAAUAUUUUGUAAAAAUGUAUACAAAAAAAUGCCAAACACGUUUGGUUGACCUAUGUUUAAACGCACCCUGUUGUUUCGAUUAAAUGCAUCCGUCGUUUUUUAUAUUUAUGCGAACUAUAGGUUAUUAAAUAAAAAAUAAUUAGGGUUCGAAUAGUUUUAUGAACUGUUUCUGGCUGGUAUUAAAAAAUAAUAUUUAAGUGUACCUUAUGCUACACAACGUUUUUUCUGUAUGCUUUUAUUUUUGGCCUUUGACUGCAGAUACUUAGAACUGUUGAACUUUCUGAUAACUAUCAACAUACUUUAGUCGUACGCUAAUGUUAACUACGCUUAAAACAGUAGUUGUAAUUUGAUAACUAAUAGUUAUAAUAUAAUAUAAAUGAACAUACAAAAUUGAUUUUCAAGAUUGAAUAGAUUGA